GGGUUGUGAGGUUAAGCGACUAAGCGUACACGGUGGAUGCCCUGGCAGUCAGAGGCGAUGAAGGACGUGCUAAUCUGCGAUAAGCGUCGGUAAGGUGAUAUGAACCGUUAUAACCGGCGAUUUCCGAAUGGGGAAACCCAGUGUGAUUCGUCACACUAUCAUUAACUGAAUCCAUAGGUUAAUGAGGCGAACCGGGGGAACUGAAACAUCUAAGUACCCCGAGGAAAAGAAAUCAACCGAGAUUCCCCCAGUAGCGGCGAGCGAACGGGGAGCAGCCCAGAGCCUGAAUCAGUGUGUGUGUUAGUGGAAGCGUCUGGAAAGGCGCGCGAUACAGGGUGACAGCCCCGUACACAAAAAUGCACAUGCUGUGAGCUCGAUGAGUAGGGCGGGACACGUGGUAUCCUGUCUGAAUAUGGGGGGACCAUCCUCCAAGGCUAAAUACUCCUGACUGACCGAUAGUGAACCAGUACCGUGAGGGAAAGGCGAAAAGAACCCCGGCGAGGGGAGUGAAAAAGAACCUGAAACCGUGUACGUACAAGCAGUGGGAGCACGCUUAGGCGUGUGACUGCGUACCUUUUGUAUAAUGGGUCAGCGACUUAUAUUCUGUAGCAAGGUUAACCGAAUAGGGGAGCCGAAGGGAAACCGAGUCUUAACUGGGCGUUAAGUUGCAGGGUAUAGACCCGAAACCCGGUGAUCUAGCCAUGGGCAGGUUGAAGGUUGGGUAACACUAACUGGAGGACCGAACCGACUAAUGUUGAAAAAUUAGCGGAUGACUUGUGGCUGGGGGUGAAAGGCCAAUCAAACCGGGAGAUAGCUGGUUCUCCCCGAAAGCUAUUUAGGUAGCGCCUCGUGAAUUCAUCUCCGGGGGUAGAGCACUGUUUCGGCAAGGGGGUCAUCCCGACUUACCAACCCGAUGCAAACUGCGAAUACCGGAGAAUGUUAUCACGGGAGACACACGGCGGGUGCUAACGUCCGUCGUGAAGAGGGAAACAACCCAGACCGCCAGCUAAGGUCCCAAAGUCAUGGUUAAGUGGGAAACGAUGUGGGAAGGCCCAGACAGCCAGGAUGUUGGCUUAGAAGCAGCCAUCAUUUAAAGAAAGCGUAAUAGCUCACUGGUCGAGUCGGCCUGCGCGGAAGAUGUAACGGGGCUAAACCAUGCACCGAAGCUGCGGCAGCGACGCUUAUGCGUUGUUGGGUAGGGGAGCGUUCUGUAAGCCUGCGAAGGUGUGCUGUGAGGCAUGCUGGAGGUAUCAGAAGUGCGAAUGCUGACAUAAGUAACGAUAAAGCGGGUGAAAAGCCCGCUCGCCGGAAGACCAAGGGUUCCUGUCCAACGUUAAUCGGGGCAGGGUGAGUCGACCCCUAAGGCGAGGCCGAAAGGCGUAGUCGAUGGGAAACAGGUUAAUAUUCCUGUACUUGGUGUUACUGCGAAGGGGGGACGGAGAAGGCUAUGUUGGCCGGGCGACGGUUGUCCCGGUUUAAGCGUGUAGGCUGGUUUUCCAGGCAAAUCCGGAAAAUCAAGGCUGAGGCGUGAUGACGAGGCACUACGGUGCUGAAGCAACAAAUGCCCUGCUUCCAGGAAAAGCCUCUAAGCAUCAGGUAACAUCAAAUCGUACCCCAAACCGACACAGGUGGUCAGGUAGAGAAUACCAAGGCGCUUGAGAGAACUCGGGUGAAGGAACUAGGCAAAAUGGUGCCGUAACUUCGGGAGAAGGCACGCUGAUAUGUAGGUGAAGUCCCUCGCGGAUGGAGCUGAAAUCAGUCGAAGAUACCAGCUGGCUGCAACUGUUUAUUAAAAACACAGCACUGUGCAAACACGAAAGUGGACGUAUACGGUGUGACGCCUGCCCGGUGCCGGAAGGUUAAUUGAUGGGGUCAGCGCAAGCGAAGCUCUUGAUCGAAGCCCCGGUAAACGGCGGCCGUAACUAUAACGGUCCUAAGGUAGCGAAAUUCCUUGUCGGGUAAGUUCCGACCUGCACGAAUGGCGUAAUGAUGGCCAGGCUGUCUCCACCCGAGACUCAGUGAAAUUGAACUCGCUGUGAAGAUGCAGUGUACCCGCGGCAAGACGGAAAGACCCCGUGAACCUUUACUAUAGCUUGACACUGAACAUUGAGCCUUGAUGUGUAGGAUAGGUGGGAGGCUUUGAAGUGUGGACGCCAGUCUGCAUGGAGCCGACCUUGAAAUACCACCCUUUAAUGUUUGAUGUUCUAACGUGGACCCGUAAUCCGGGUUGCGGACAGUGUCUGGUGGGUAGUUUGACUGGGGCGGUCUCCUCCUAAAGAGUAACGGAGGAGCACGAAGGUUGGCUAAUCCUGGUCGGACAUCAGGAGGUUAGUGCAAUGGCAUAAGCCAGCUUGACUGCGAGCGUGACGGCGCGAGCAGGUGCGAAAGCAGGUCAUAGUGAUCCGGUGGUUCUGAAUGGAAGGGCCAUCGCUCAACGGAUAAAAGGUACUCCGGGGAUAACAGGCUGAUACCGCCCAAGAGUUCAUAUCGACGGCGGUGUUUGGCACCUCGAUGUCGGCUCAUCACAUCCUGGGGCUGAAGUAGGUCCCAAGGGUAUGGCUGUUCGCCAUUUAAAGUGGUACGCGAGCUGGGUUUAGAACGUCGUGAGACAGUUCGGUCCCUAUCUGCCGUGGGCGCUGGAGAACUGAGGGGGGCUGCUCCUAGUACGAGAGGACCGGAGUGGACGCAUCACUGGUGUUCGGGUUGUCAUGCCAAUGGCACUGCCCGGUAGCUAAAUGCGGAAGAGAUAAGUGCUGAAAGCAUCUAAGCACGAAACUUGCCCCGAGAUGAGUUCUCCCUGAGACUUUAAGUCUCCUGAAGGAACGUUGAAGACGACGACGUUGAUAGGCCGGGUGUGUAAGCGCAGCGAUGCGUUGAGCUAACCGGUACUAAUGAACCGUGAGGCUUAACCUUACAACGCCGAAGGUGUUU
RNAcentral lists this ribosomal RNA (2931 nucleotides) under Escherichia coli. Its description in RNAcentral is "23S ribosomal RNA". It matches the Rfam family "Bacterial large subunit ribosomal RNA". Lineage: Bacteria; Pseudomonadati; Pseudomonadota; Gammaproteobacteria; Enterobacterales; Enterobacteriaceae. The record is from RNAcentral.